This 914-nucleotide ribosomal RNA is filed under the name uncultured bacterium. Its description in RNAcentral is "bacterial SSU rRNA". It matches the Rfam family "Bacterial small subunit ribosomal RNA", at positions 8 to 916 of the family's 1533-position model. The record is from RNAcentral.
AGAGUUUGAUCCUGGCUCAGAUUGAACGCUGGCGGCAUGCUUUACACGUGCAAGUCGAACGGCAGCACGGGGGCAACCCUGGUGGCGAGUGGCGAACGGGUGAGUAAUAUAUCGGAACAUAUCCGGAAGUGGGGGAUAACGUAGCGAAAGUUACGCUAAUACCGCAUAUGCCCUGAGGGGGAAAGGGGGGGAUCGCAAGACCUCUCGCUUUCGGAGUGGCCGAUAUCGGAUUAGCUAGUUGGUGAGGUAAAGGCUCACCAAGGCGACGAUCCGUAGCUGGUCUGAGAGGACGACCAGCCACACUGGGACUGAGACACGGCCCAGACUCCUACGGGAGGCAGCAGUGGGGAAUUUUGGACAAUGGGGGCAACCCUGAUCCGGCCAUUCCGCGUGAGUGAAGAAGGCCUUCGGGUUGUAAAGCUCUUUCAGCAGGAACGAAACGGUAUGGGCUAAUACCCUGUGCUAAUGACGGUACCUGCAGAAGAAGCACCGGCUAACUACGUGCCAGCAGCCGCGGUAAUACGUAGGGUGCGAGCGUUAAUCGGAAUUACUGGGCGUAAAGCGUGCGCAGGCGGAUUGUUAAGCAAGAUGUGAAAUCCCCGGGCUUAACCUGGGAAUGGCAUUUUGAACUGGCAGUCUAGAGUGUGUCAGAGGGGGGUGGAAUUCCACGUGUAGCAGUGAAAUGCGUAGAGAUGUGGAGGAACACCGAUGGCGAAGGCAGCCCCCUGGGAUAACACUGACGCUCAUGUACGAAAGCGUGGGUAGCAAACAGGAUUAGAUACCCUGGUAGUCCACGCCCUAAACGAUGUCAACUGGUUGUUGGGGGAGUGAAAUCCCUUAGUAACGAAGCUAACGCGUGAAGUUGACCGCCUGGGGAGUACGGUCGCAAGAUUAAAACUCAAAGGAAUUGACGG